This is a long non-coding RNA of Cyprinus carpio (common carp), 634 nucleotides long. RefSeq lists it as uncharacterized. The transcript is spliced from 3 exons. NCBI's taxonomy places the organism in Eukaryota, Metazoa, Chordata, Actinopteri, Cypriniformes, Cyprinidae. The record is from RefSeq and is a predicted model, not a curated record.
GCACAAACAACAGGAAGUGUCAGAAAUGGAUCAGAUGAACUUUUUUGGUGUUAGUUGGUUUGAAUCACUCUGAAACAUUAAUUUCUGUUUGAUAAAGUUAUACAAAUCCAGUUGAUAAUGAAAUCUGCUGUUCCUCCAUCCAUUAUAACUCUCCGUGAGGAUGAUUAUGAGGACGGUUUGAGGAACAGGAUGCUGUGCUGUUUCAGCCGUGUUUGGUCAGCUAACUGUAGCAACUACCGUUUACAGGCCUGAGGGCAAGUGACAUGCUAAUGGUCAACUAAUGUCAAGGUGGAGCAACAUUUGAAGAGAUUCUUGCAGAACAAGUCAGUAAAAAAACGCUUGAGUGCUGCCAGCAGACUCAGACAGGCUCGGCUAGCUCCUCAUAAGCAGGACUUCCUUUCUAGCUGUGAGCUUGAUCAGACUCCCAUCAGGAAUUCCAGGCAUUUUUCUGCGGCGUUCCUGGAGUUCCUCGCGACAGAAGCAUGUGGAUAGUCCGCGGGCGGCGUGUAAGCGGCUCCACACCACAGACCCCCUCCGUUCCUCCUCAGCCUCGCUGUCUCGCUCUCAUGCUCAUUCCCAUCCCCGGUUGCCAGGGCAGCGUCCAGAAAUCCCUGCUCUCCUGUAAUGAGUCUGU